AUGAAGGUGUUUGUGGCCACGUUCGUAUGGUGGGCGGCAACGACAACACUAAGCUUCGUGGAGACGGCGUACGCGUAUGAAGUCGAAAUCACGACCGGGUUCCAUGCCGGCGUCCACAUGAUGGCGGGGCAUUCGGCGGGCUUAUGGGCACACUUGCGCGGGCCUUCUCGCCUAUCGAUGGACGGUUCCGGUUCCACCUGGAUGCAGCUGCCGCGGAAGGAGGCACUGCGGGGGCAGGAGGUGCUCAACGCCGCGAGCGACCCCUCCGACGUCGUCAAGUCGGCCAAGAAAUUCCACGCAUGCGUCAAAACCCUGAUCCUCUGCAGCGGGGAGGUCGACCACCUCACGAACGUCAUCAACACGCUCUCGAUCGCUCGCCGGCCCGGGUGUCGACCUGGACAUCUUCUUGAAGGUGCUCCAGCUCGAUGUGGCCAUGACAUGGACGUGGACGGUGCUGUUGUGCCCCCCUGGUGCGCGCAUUACGUGGACUAG
This 492-nucleotide ribosomal RNA is filed under the name Triticum aestivum (bread wheat). Its description in RNAcentral is "partial small subunit ribosomal RNA". Lineage: Eukaryota; Viridiplantae; Streptophyta; Magnoliopsida; Poales; Poaceae. The record is from RNAcentral.